UGCUGUCUUUUUCUCUCCAGCCUUUGGCCCUUCUCAUCAGGAUGAAAACGCUUCUGUUUGGUGUCUGGGCCCUGCUGGCCUUGAUCCUUUGCCCAGGGGUCCCGGAAGAGUUGUUUGAGGUUUCUAUUUGGCCAAGUCAGGCCCUGGUGGAGUUUGGACAGUCCCUAGUGGUCAACUGCAGCACUACUUGCCCAGACCCAGGACCCAGUGGAAUUGAGACCUUCUUAAAGAAAACUCAGGUGGGCAAAGGGCCUCAGUGGAAAGAGUUUCUUCUGGAGGAUGUCACAGAGAAUUCCAUCCUGCAGUGCUUCUUCUCUUGUGCAGGGAUUCAAAAGGACACAAGCCUUGGCAUCACUGUGUAUCAGCCACCAGAGCAAGUGAUCCUGGAGCUGCAGCCUGCCUGGGUGGCCGUGGACGAAGCCUUCACAGUGAAGUGUCAUGUACCCAGUGUAGCACCCUUGGAGAGUCUCACCCUUGCCCUUCUCCAGGGUAACCAAGAACUGCAUAGAAAGAACUUUACGAGGUUGGUUGUGGCCUCCCAAAGAGCUGAGGUCAUCAUCAGUGUCAGAGCCCAAAAGGAGAAUGACAGAUGCAAUUCUUCCUGCCAUGCAGAACUGGACUUGAGUUUGCAAGGUGGGAGGCUCUUUCAAGGCAGCUCACCCAUCAGAAUAGUCCGGAUCUUUGAAUUCUCUCAGAGUCCCCACAUCUGGGUCUCUUCCCUUUUGGAGGCUGGGAUGGCGGAGACUGUGAGCUGCGAGGUGGCUAGGUUGUUUCCAGCCAAAGAAGUUAUGUUCCACAUGUUCCUGGAAGACCAAGAGCUGAGCUCCUUCCUUUCCUGGGAGGGGGACACAGCAUGGGCCAAUGCUACCAUUCGGACCAUGGAGGCUGGUGAUCAGGAACUGUCUUGCUUUGCAUCUCUGGGUCCAAUGGAACAGAAGACAAGAAAGCUAGUGCAUAGCUACAGUAAGUGACCUGGCUCUUCCUUUUUCAUACGGGUUCUCUGCUGCUGAAAACACAGAGUAACGGGUUGGUGAUUCGGCUGUAGACAUCCCUGCUGCCCUUUGCUGGGUAUGCCCUCAAGUGAACAUGAGUCUUCAUCUUUCUCUGGCUUCCCUCCACCAAUCCUGGAGCUAAAAGAAUCAUACCCAUUGGCAGGGACCGACAUUAAUGUGACCUGCUCAGGGCAUGUAUUAACAUCACCCAGCCCUACUCUUCGGCUUCAGGGAGCCCCAGACCUCCCUGCCCCUGGGGAGCCUGCCUGGCUUCUACUUACUGCCAGGGAGGAAGAUGAUGGCUGAAAUUUCUCCUGCGAGGCCUCUUUGGUGGUGCAGGGUCAGCGGUUGAUGAAAACCACUGUGAUCCAGCUCCAUAUCCUAUACAAGCUACGGUUAGAGGAAUCCAGUUGCCCUGGCAAACAGACCUGGCUGGAAGGGAUGGAACACACGCUCGCCUGCGUCCCAAAGGGAAACCCAGCUCCAGCCUUGGUGUGUACCUGGAAUGGGGUGGUCUUUGACCUUGAAGUGCCACAGAAGGCAACCCAGAACCACACUGGAACCUACUGCUGCACAGCCACUAACCAGCUGGGCUCUGUCAGCAAAGACAUUGCUGUCAUUGUUCAAGGACUGGAUGAAGGAAUCAGCUCUACCCUCUUUGUCAUUAUUACUGUUACGUCUGGAGUGGGUGUCAUCACCAUAGCACUGUAUUUGAGCUAUCGGCCCUGCAAAGUGGACAGGAGGAAAUUGCUCUAUAGGCAGAAAGAGGAGGACAAAGAGGAGGAAAGCCAGUUUGCUGUUCAGGAAGAGAAAAGUACAACUCAUAUAAUUGACAGCUAUUUGAUUGAAUGAGAGUUGUGCUACUGUGGUUUCCCAGGGAUGGGAGAAGGGAUAGAGGAGAAAGGAAGA
Molecule: small RNA, 1901 nt
Filed under: Pan troglodytes (chimpanzee)
Lineage: Eukaryota; Metazoa; Chordata; Mammalia; Primates; Hominidae
Description: processed transcript
Source: RNAcentral